Molecule: ribosomal RNA, 367 nt
Filed under: uncultured cyanobacterium
Lineage: Bacteria; Bacillati; Cyanobacteriota
Description: bacterial SSU rRNA
Rfam family: Bacterial small subunit ribosomal RNA
Source: RNAcentral
CUCCUACGGGAGGCAGCAGUGGGGAAUUUUCCGCAAUGGGCGAAAGCCUGACGGAGCAAGACCGCGUGAGGGAGGAAGGCUCUUGGGUUGUAAACCUCUUUUCUCUGGGAGGAACAAAAUGACGGUACCAGAGGAAAUCAGCAUCGGCUAACUCCGUGCCAGCAGCCGCGGUAAGACGGAGGAUGCAAGCGUUAUCCGGAAUGAUUGGGCGUAAAGCGUCCGCAGGUGGCAAUUCAAGUCUGCUGUUAAAGCGCAGGGCUUAACCCUGUAAAGGCAGUGGAAACUGAAUAGCUAGAGUGUGGUAGGGGCAGAGGGAAUUCCCAGUGUAGCGGUGAAAUGCGUAGAUAUUGGGAAGAACAUCGGUGGG